UAAGGGCUGGGUAAGACGGGUGCCAGCCGCCGCGGUAAUACCCGCAGCCCGAGUGGUGAUCGGUUUUAUUGGGCUUAAAGCGUCCGUAGCCGGUUUGGUAAAUUCCUGGGUAAAUCGAGUCGCUUAACGAUUCGAAUUCCGGGAACACUGCCAGACUUGGGACUGGGAGAGGCCAGAGGUACUCCAGGGGUAGGGGUGAAAUCCUGUAAUCCUUGGGGGACCACCAGUGGCGAAGGCGUCUGGCUAGAACGGGUCCGACGGUAAGGGACGAAGCCCUGGGGCACAAACCGGAUUAGAUACCCGGGUAGUCCAGGGUGUAAACGCUGCGAGCUUGGUGUUGGGGGUCCCACGUGGGCGUCCAGUGCCGGAGAGA
This 373-nucleotide ribosomal RNA is filed under the name uncultured archaeon. RNAcentral's name for it is "bacterial SSU rRNA". It matches the Rfam family "Archaeal small subunit ribosomal RNA", at positions 436 to 809 of the family's 1478-position model. The record is from RNAcentral.